AGAGUUUGAUCAUGGCUCAGAGUGAACGCUAGCGGUGCGCCUAACACAUGCAAGUCGCGCGAGGCCUCGAGCCGAGCGGCGAACGGCUGCGUAACACGUUGGUAUCUACCCCAGAUUCAGGGAUAACCUCGCGAAAGCGAGGCUAAUACCGGAUGGUCCCGUAAGGGUAAAGCUACGGCGAUCUGGGAGGAGCCUGCGGCCUAUCAGGUAGUUGGUGAGGUAAUGGCUCACCAAGCCUAUGACGGGUAGCUGGUCUGAGAGGACGACCAGCCAGAAUGGAACUGAGACACGGUCCAUACUCCUACGGGAGGCAGCAGUGAGGAAUCUUCCGCAAUGGGCGAAAGCCUGACGGAGCGACACCGCGUGAAGGAUGAAGAGCUUCUGCUCGUAAACUUCUGUUCUGAGGGAAGAAAUUUUUGACGGUACCUCAGGAGAAAGCACCGGCUAAUCCCGUGCCAGCAGCCGCGGUAAUACGGGAGGUGCAAGCGUUACUCGGAAUUACUGGGCGUAAAGCGUCCGCAGGUGUCUUGUUGCGUCUGGGGUAAAAGCACGGGGCUCAACCCCGUGUAUGUCCUGGAAACGAGCAAGAUGGAGUCACUCAGAGGUAUCUGGAAUGCCGUGUGUAGGGGUAAAAUCCGUUGAUCCACGGUAGAACGCCAAAAGCGAAAGCAGGAUACUGGGGGUGUACUGACACUCAUGGACGAAAGCGUGGGGAGCGAACGGGAUUAGAUACCCCGGUAGUCCACGCCCUAAACGAUGCGAGCUCGGUGUAGGGACUUCAAUCUGUCCCUGUGCCCUAAGCUAACGCGGUAAGCUCGCCGCCUGG
This 826-nucleotide ribosomal RNA is filed under the name uncultured Sulfurovum sp. Its description in RNAcentral is "bacterial SSU rRNA". It matches the Rfam family "Bacterial small subunit ribosomal RNA", at positions 9 to 873 of the family's 1533-position model. Lineage: Bacteria; Pseudomonadati; Campylobacterota; Epsilonproteobacteria; Campylobacterales; Sulfurovaceae. The record is from RNAcentral.